GCUAUAGGCCAGGCUCAGGCCUCAAAAAUUAAUCGUAGGCUAGGCUCAGACCUUUUAAAGCCUGGUCUGGCCUGACCUAUUCCCACCCUUAGAUACAAGCAUGAAAUGUGUUCUUAACCCCUCUCUAGUGGAUUUGGGCCUACGAUCAUGAAUCAAGCUAACGUGCUGACCCAGUGCCCUCAAACUCAAUAAAUCCAGAAUUUCAAUAGUAUAUAUGUCAAUCACAAUCAGCACGAUGCCUCAACAUACAUAUGGAGCUGAACGUUGCUAAAAUACAACAUUGAAUGUAACCAAUGAUGACAUUGAACAUUAUAUGCAGCC
Molecule: long non-coding RNA, 321 nt
Filed under: Glycine max (soybean)
Lineage: Eukaryota; Viridiplantae; Streptophyta; Magnoliopsida; Fabales; Fabaceae
Description: long non-coding RNA (GMAX_LNC004410)
Source: RNAcentral